RNAcentral lists this ribosomal RNA (164 nucleotides) under Setaria parviflora (knotroot foxtail). Its description in RNAcentral is "5.8S ribosomal RNA". It matches the Rfam family "5.8S ribosomal RNA". From Rfam's summary of the family: 5.8S ribosomal RNA (5.8S rRNA) is a component of the large subunit of the eukaryotic ribosome. It is transcribed by RNA polymerase I as part of the 45S precursor that also contains 18S and 28S rRNA. Functionally, it is thought that 5.8S rRNA may be involved in ribosome translocation. Lineage: Eukaryota; Viridiplantae; Streptophyta; Magnoliopsida; Poales; Poaceae. The record is from RNAcentral.
CACACGACUCUCGGCAACGGAUAUCUCGGCUCUCGCAUCGAUGAAGAACGUAGCAAAAUGCGAUACCUGGUGUGAAUUGCAGAAUCCCGCGAACCAUCGAGUUUUUGAACGCAAGUUGCGCCCGAGGCCUUUUGGUUGAGGGCACGCCUGCCUGGGCGUCACGC